UCUUCCGUAGUAUAGUGGUCAGUAUGUGAGCUUGUCAUCAGACUCCACCAAGUCGUGACAUCGCUCGAGACCCGGGUUCAAUUCCCGGCGGGAGAG
Molecule: transfer RNA, 96 nt
Filed under: Chaetomium globosum CBS 148.51
Lineage: Eukaryota; Fungi; Ascomycota; Sordariomycetes; Sordariales; Chaetomiaceae
Also listed under: 2 other names
Rfam family: tRNA
About the family: Transfer RNA (tRNA) molecules are approximately 80 nucleotides in length. Their secondary structure includes four short double-helical elements and three loops (D, anti-codon, and T loops). Further hydrogen bonds mediate the characteristic L-shaped molecular structure. tRNAs have two regions of fundamental functional importance: the anti-codon, which is responsible for specific mRNA codon recognition, and the 3' end, to which the tRNAs corresponding amino acid is attached (by aminoacyl-tRNA synthetases). tRNAs cope with the degeneracy of the genetic code in two manners: having more than one tRNA (with a specific anti-codon) for a particular amino acid; and 'wobble' base-pairing, i.e. permitting non-standard base-pairing at the 3rd anti-codon position.
Source: Rfam by way of RNAcentral